Molecule: transfer RNA, 78 nt
Filed under: Bacteroidota bacterium
Lineage: Bacteria; Pseudomonadati; Bacteroidota
Description: Bacteroidetes bacterium (freshwater metagenome) tRNA-Val
Rfam family: tRNA
About the family: Transfer RNA (tRNA) molecules are approximately 80 nucleotides in length.
Source: RNAcentral
GGGAGCUUAGCUCAGCUGGUUCAGAGCAUCUGCCUUACAAGCAGAGGGUCGGCGGUUCGAACCCGUCAGCUCCCACCC